This is a non-coding RNA of Phascolarctos cinereus (koala), 156 nucleotides long. The record is from RefSeq and is a predicted model, not a curated record. Lineage: Eukaryota; Metazoa; Chordata; Mammalia; Diprotodontia; Phascolarctidae.
CCAGCCUGGAGUCCUGAAGCCCUGGGACUUCAUGACAUAUAUCUAUAUAGAUGGUCAGAAAUUGGAGAUAAUAGGAUUUAGGUAUUCUCCCUAGGGUGCCCCCUCUGCCAGCCACAGGAUUGGGCCAAUCAGGAGCUGUUGCCAGAAAGCCUCCCA